UGAGGAAUAUUGGUCAAUGGACGCAAGUCUGAACCAGCCAAGUAGCGUGCAGGAUGACGGCCCUAUGGGUUGUAAACUGCUUUUAUAUGGGAAUAAAGUGAGGGACGUGUCCCUUAUUGCAUGUACCAUACGAAUAAGGACCGGCCAAUUCCGUGCCAGCAGCCGCGGUAAUACGGAAGGUCCAGGCGUUAUCCGGACUUAUUGGGUUUAAAGGGAGCGUAGGCUGUUUGUUAAGCGUGUUGUGAAAUGUAGGAGCUCAACUUUUAGAUUGCAGCGCGAACUGGCAGACUUGAGUGCGCACAACGUAGGCGGAAUUCAUGGUGUAGCGAUGAAAUGCUUAGAUAUCAUGACGAACUCCGAUUGCGAAGGCAGCUUACGGGAGCGCAACUGACGCUAAAGCUCGAAGGUGCGGGUAUCGAACAGG
RNAcentral lists this ribosomal RNA (424 nucleotides) under Verrucomicrobiota bacterium. RNAcentral describes it as "Verrucomicrobia bacterium partial 16S ribosomal RNA". It matches the Rfam family "Bacterial small subunit ribosomal RNA", at positions 355 to 776 of the family's 1533-position model. Lineage: Bacteria; Pseudomonadati; Verrucomicrobiota. The record is from RNAcentral.